GACUUUAGCAUAAAUACUCUGAAGGCACCAAGCUUUGUCUGAUCUUAGAGGCUAAUCAAAAUAAGUUUUGCUUAGUACUUCAGUGGGUGACCACCAAGGAAUGUUAAGUGUUGUAGGCU
This 119-nucleotide ribosomal RNA is filed under the name Anolis carolinensis (green anole). Lineage: Eukaryota; Metazoa; Chordata; Lepidosauria; Squamata; Anolidae. The record is from RNAcentral.